Molecule: ribosomal RNA, 490 nt
Filed under: uncultured bacterium
Lineage: Bacteria
Description: partial 16S ribosomal RNA
Rfam family: Bacterial small subunit ribosomal RNA
Source: RNAcentral
AUUGAACGCUGGCGGCAGGCCUAACACAUGCAAGUCGAACGGUAACAGGAAGCAGCUUGCUGCUUCGCUGACGAGUGGCGGACGGGUGAGUAAUGUCUGGGAAACUGCCUGAUGGAGGGGGAUAACUACUGGAAACGGUAGCUAAUACCGCAUAACGUCGCAAGACCAAAGAGGGGGACCUUAGGGCCUCUUGCCAUCGGAUGUGCCCAGAUGGGAUUAGCUAGUAGGUGGGGUAACGGCUCACCUAGGCGACGAUCCCUAGCUGGUCUGAGAGGAUGACCAGCCACACUGGAACUGAGACACGGUCCAGACUCCUACGGGAGGCAGCAGUGGGGAAUAUUGCACAAUGGGCGCAAGCCUGAUGCAGCCAUGCCGCGUGUAUGAAGAAGGCCUUCGGGUUGUAAAGUACUUUCAGCGGGGAGGAAGGGAGUAAAGUUAAUACCUUUGCUCAUUGACGUUACCCGCAGAAGAAGCCCCGGCUAACUCCGUG